Molecule: ribosomal RNA, 619 nt
Filed under: uncultured Vibrionaceae bacterium
Lineage: Bacteria; Pseudomonadati; Pseudomonadota; Gammaproteobacteria; Vibrionales; Vibrionaceae
Description: bacterial SSU rRNA
Rfam family: Bacterial small subunit ribosomal RNA
Source: RNAcentral
GCAGGCUCAACACAUGCAAGUCGAGCGGUACAGGGAAUAGCUUGCUAUUUGCUGACGAGCGGCGGACGGGUGAGUAAUGCUUGGGAAUAUGCCUUAUGGUGGGGGACAACAGUUGGAAACGACUGCUAAUACCGCAUAAUGUCUACGGACCAAAGGGGGGGAUCUUCGGACCUCUCGCCAUUUGAUUAGCCCAAGUGAGAUUAGCUAGUUGGUAAGGUAAUGGCUUACCAAGGCGACGAUCUCUAGCUGGUUUGAGAGGAUGAUCAGCCACACUGGGACUGAGACACGGCCCAGACUCCUACGGGAGGCAGCAGUGGGGAAUAUUGCACAAUGGGGGAAACCCUGAUGCAGCCAUGCCGCGUGUGUGAAGAAGGCCUUCGGGUUGUAAAGCACUUUCAGUUGUGAGGAAAGGUGUGUAGUUAAUAGCUGCAUACUGUGACGUUAACAACAGAAGAAGCACCGGCUAACUUCGUGCCAGCAGCCGCGGUAAUACGAGGGGUGCAAGCGUUAAUCGGAAUUACUGGGCGUAAAGCGUUCGUAGGCGGUUGAAUAAGCAAGAUGUGAAAGCCCAGGGCUCAACCUUGGAACUGCAUUUUGAACUGUUCGACUAGAGUACUGU